This 426-nucleotide ribosomal RNA is filed under the name uncultured Pleomorphomonas sp. RNAcentral's name for it is "bacterial SSU rRNA". It matches the Rfam family "Bacterial small subunit ribosomal RNA", at positions 356 to 774 of the family's 1533-position model. The record is from RNAcentral. Lineage: Bacteria; Pseudomonadati; Pseudomonadota; Alphaproteobacteria; Hyphomicrobiales; Pleomorphomonadaceae.
GGGGAAUUUUGGACAAUGGGGGCAACCCUGAUCCAGCCAUGCCGCGUGAGUGAAGAAGGCCUUCGGGUUGUAAAGCUCUUUCGGCCGGGAAGAAAUCGUGCAGGCUAAUACCCUGUAUGGAUGACGGUACCGGAAUAAGAAGCACCGGCUAACUACGUGCCAGCAGCCGCGGUAAUACGAAGGGGGCUAGCGUUGUUCGGAAUUACUGGGCGUAAAGCGCACGUAGGCGGACAUUUAAGUCAGAGGUGAAAUCCCAGGGCUCAACCCUGGAACUGCCUUUGAUACUGGGUGUCUUGAGUACGAGAGAGGUGAGUGGAAUUCCGAGUGUAGAGGUGAAAUUCGUAGAUAUUCGGAAGAACACCAGUGGCGAAGGCGGCUCACUGGCUCGUAACUGACGCUGAGGUGCGAAAGCGUGGGGAGCAAACA